CCUACGGGUGGCAGCAGUGAGGAAUAUUGGUCAAUGGCCGAGAGGCUGAACCAGCCAAGUCGCGUGAGGGAAGACGGCCCUACGGGUUGUAAACCUCUUUUGUCGGGGAGCAAAGAGAGUCACGUGUGACUCAUUGAGAGUACCCGAAGAAAAAGCAUCGGCUAACCCCGUGCCAGCAGCCGCGGUAAUACGGAGGAUGCGAGCGGUAUCCGGCUUUAUUGGGUUUAAAGGGUGCGCAGGCGGAGGUGCAAGUCAGCGGUCAAAUUGCGGGGCUCAACCCCGUACUGCCGUUGAAACUGCAGCCCUUGAGUGCGCGAGAAGUAUGCGGAAUGCGUGGUGUAGCGGUGAAAUGCAUAGAUAUCACGCAGAACUCCGAUUGCGAAGGCAGCAUACCGGCGCGCAACUGACGCUCAUGCACGAAAGCGUGGGUAUCGAACAGGAUUAGAUACCCCUGUAGUC
Molecule: ribosomal RNA, 459 nt
Filed under: uncultured bacterium
Lineage: Bacteria
Description: partial 16S ribosomal RNA
Rfam family: Bacterial small subunit ribosomal RNA
Source: RNAcentral